GGGCAGCGUUCUGGGAGGUCACCUACGACGUGUGUGCCCUCUCUUUACACCUGAAUCCCCUGUUGAACCUCAUGAUCCAGACAACAGAGGGAGAACUCAGAAGUUGUCCAGAAAGGAGCCAUUUUUCCAAGAGACACAUGAUUUUGUGCGGGUUGAGUUCCUAGUUUUAGUGCCAGAAAAACAAAAAUUUUUAAAGGUGAAGACUCACCUUGCUGACGUGAGAUUUUCCUUGUACUAAAAGUCCUGAUCUUCAUUCUUUUAUGGUUUGGCAGGGCUGAUCUUACCGUUAGAGGAAAGAGUGUCUCAUGGUUGCAGGAGCUGAGCCAAAAACUCCACUGACCAAACCCAACACUGCUCUUCCCCAGGCACGAUGCCUGCAUUCCACGUUUGCAGAGAGUUCUCACUGUGGGUUCCACUGAUGAGUCUAGGAGCGCCCUGUUGAAAUUCAAAGUUAUCAAGUGGGGUGGGCGUGGGGAAGGAAGAGGGCAUCAAACAAUUCUCAGACAUCACUACUUGAGACAUUAGGUUAACAGAUAAUAUCCUAGAAUUUAUCUGCCAGGGUUCUAAGGUGUUAACCUCAGAACCCGUAGCUUUACUGGGAUAGGGAGCACAGAGAGGAGUUACAGAAGGCUUGUGUCAGAGGAUGCAUCUUGAUCAGAUGACAUAUUCCAUCAGGGACACCAGAACCUUUGAGGACAUCAGAGUCAGAGCUGUGUCCAUGAUGACUCAGUGGACUCAGCAGCAUGGCAUGCAUGGUGGGACUCCUCAUGGUCACCCUGUGAAACUAGAAGAGACAUGGUCUAGAGCACUGGAAGUUCAGCUCCAGGAGGGCGGGGCUUUUUCCAGUUUGUUCGCCGCUCUGCCUGCAACACCAGGAACAAGGCUUAGCGCAUGUGCACAAAUACAGUUGUCCUUGUGACGUGUCCACUUGAAUGACUCUCAGAGAUUUCAACCUCACAAACGAAACUGGGUCUCUUGAUUCCUCUACCAACCCCCCCUGAAACCUGUUCCACUCUGGACCUCUCCAGCUGAGACCAGGAUGCUGAUAUCCACACAGCUGCCAAGCCAGAAACCUCAUUUAAGCAUUUUUAUUCAAAUAUAGUCUACAGAGCAUAAAAAGCGUAAAAUGGAUGCAUCUGAAGCAUACAGUUCAAGAAAUUUCUACUUAUGAAUACACUUGUGAUCAUUUUCAAGAUGCCAGAAGUUUCCCUUGUGACCUUCUGAGAGUCAUUGAUUCCUCCUUUUCCAUAUCUGAAUCUUCACCAAGUCCUGACUGUUGUUCCUCCAAAAUUUAUCUUGAACUUUUUCGCUUUUCUCCACCACAAUCAUCAAUCUCUAAUAACUUCUCUCCUCACUUCCACUUUUACCAGUUCAUUACCUCUACUGAACGAUCUUUAAGAAAUCAUCACCCUGAUCAUUGCACUUCCCUUCCUCAUCAACUUCCCUUUACACUUAGAAUAAAAUGGAAACUCAUUCUUGAGUCUUACAGUGAAUGCCCUUCAAAAGUAGUCCCUUGAAACCCUCCAACCUCUGCCUCACUCUGUUUCAAGCAUCCUAAUCCCUCUUCCUGUUCCAGUUCCUGGAAAAUGCCCUGGGGCCUUUUGCAUGUGCUGUUCCUUUGGUAUGAACGAUUUUCCUCUUCUUUCUUCUUCACUCUCACCCUACUUCCACUCCACACUCAUACCCUUAAGGGUACAUUAUCUUCACAUGGUUAGUUCCUUCUCAUCCUUCUUUCUCAGAUUAAAUAUCACCUGGCCAUAAAGAUUUUUCCUGCCCCAAAUCUAAAGCACAGCUCCCCAGUUACUCUCAGAGAGUUGUGUCUUUUUCCUUUACAGCAAUUUGCGAUUUAUGUAUUUAGGAGUUGCUUUUGGUUGUAUAUUGUCUAACUUCCCUGCUAACGGAAGCUCUUAGGGAAGCUCCAAGGAUAUUAUUUCAUUCCCUCCUGCUAGCAGCUAACAAUGCACCUGGCAUACAGUAAAAGUAUUUAGAAAAUAAUUGCUGAAUGAAUGAAUAAAUCAAUGAGUGUGUACUUGUCUCUGAGAACAAUGCAAAAGGGAGAACUGAGAGGAAGCAGAGGCUGGUGUGGACAGCCCCUCUGAGGAGAAAUUAAACCUGAGGAAGGAUUUUCUUUUUCUCAAUUGAAUGCAUUUCAGAAAUGGAUCUUGGAGGAUCCUUGUUUUUCUAAGCCAAGCAUCACUCUGAGAAAAGUAAUUUCUUCCCAGGACAUCCCUGGAGAAGAAUUCAGCCAGCACAAGUCAGUUUCCCUCCUGGUUGACCCGUAUGUCCUUUGACCCCCAGCCCUUCUUAUUCCACUGGCACCAACUCUGGGAGGAUUUUGCAUACACUUCACUGGUCCGUACUGUAGUUCCUACAGAAUCAGUAGGUGAUCUGAAUCCUAGAACGCAGUGGCAGGUUGAGGGCUGGGGAUAGAAUGGAGUGGAGAGGCUUAAAAGAGAUGUGGUAGGAAAUCUUUCUGGAAAGAAGUUGAGGUUGGAUUCUAAGAGGAAGUGGUUUUGAAUUUUAAAUUUUGUUUUCUUUUUUUCUAUUGCAAUUCACUUCUGAUAGUCCCAAGCCUUAGUAAGAUUUUGUAAAUACCAUAACCUGGUGUUUGUUGCGCUUUGGAAAAUUCAGGAAGGAUAUUGAGUCAGUAUUUAGUGCGUAGGCAUAUUAGGUCGAAAGCCAGCAGCCUGGAGCAGCAUUGUGAAAUGGAAAGAGGGAUCCAGCAAAGAUGUUCAGAGCAGUAGACCAGAGCAAGAGCUGACUAAUCACUGUAUCAUGGAUUUGUCCAACACGUCACCAUUCUUUAGGAGUUGCAGAAAAACAAGGGGGAGAAGGUUGACAACCCUUGGCUGUACAGGAUAGGGCACAUUCCACAUCAGUAGGUACUAAAUAGAUGAGUGAUUCCUGAAACGCACAAAAUGUGGGGACAUUUGGGUUACAUUCCUUGGGUUGCAUGACUUAAAAUUCUCUCACUUAGACAUUCCUACCUCAAAGUAGACCUCAACUCAGAAAAAUCUAUUGUAUUUUGGGCUGAAAUCUGCCUAUUUCAAAAAGUAAAAAAAAAAAAAACUGUCUGAAUUAACUGGAUCAUCAAUCAGGUACACCUUGGACUGAGUUAACUCAAUGUUGUUUCCUCAAAAUGCCUGAUGUGAUCUAUCAACUUAGGAAAUGGGAAAUUUAAUGGAGAUGCAGGGGGACAGUGUCAUUUUGGCCUCAGUGCUUUGUCAGAGCAUGUGGGAGUGACAGGCUUGGGGCUUUUAAGAACCGGAGAGUUACCAAAAGGAACUGAAUGUUUAGGGUGUGGAGCAGUGAAAGAAGACUGGAGAAUGCGAGGUGAGGUACUGCCCAAAGAGGAAUUCUGCUGACUUUGUAGUUCUGUUUUUUGCUAUAUUCAAUCAUCUUUAAAUGAGUCAGUGGUAUAAUUGAAUGCAGUUGUUAAAAUAGCCCAAAUAAAAUCAGCCUGCCACAUUUGAAUAUUUCCAAGGAGUGGGAGAGAAAAAGGGAAGAUUUAUAGUAUGUGGCCUGCCUCCCUACAUCACUAGCGGAGCCUGCUCUACAACUUUGACUUAAGUUCUUAAUAAUAACAAUGGGGUGGUUUUGCUGGCUUUGUUAGAUAGUUAACCCAAAUGCUCUGUUUAUUUCAUGGAAUAUUAUGCCUUGAUCUCAGAGGAAAUACUUAAAUUUGAAAAAGUGGAGAUGCCUGUGUGUGUCAUUCUUGUUUGGAAUACGAGCUCAGUGAAAACAGGAUCUAACUCAAUGUUCAUAAUUAGAGCAGUGGCCAACUCUUCGGCUGGGGCUCAUUAUGUGCCAGGCCCUACUACCUGCAUAUUUCAUGUCAUCCUCACUACAAUUAUUUGAGGUAGGUACUAUAACUACUGCUAUUCCACAGAUGAAAAAAGAGAUGCUUUGAGAGGUUGAGAACUUCCUGACCUACCCAAGUCCAGACCACUAGUGAGGAGCUGGCCAGAAAUUGAGUAGGUCUGUUUGAGUUCAGAGCCAUGAGCUACCCAGUAGACAGGGCUGCUGCUGUACACCAGUAGUAGUAACCAUUACUAGUAUUAUUUACCAUGAGUACGUAGUACAAUGCUUGAGAGAACCAGAUGACCUACAGUGUUGGAGAUACUAAUCAAGCAGAUAGUAGCUCAUUGGCAGUUACAGACUGUCAACCCCAGUUUUGAUAUCUAAUUGUAGCAAGACGUGGAACCAUGAUCUAAGUCUGGAGUCAGCAACCCAGGUACUGGCCAUGGCUCCUGCUGUGAGUCCUUGGACAAAUCAUUUAGGUGCCCUGGGCCCAAGGAUCCAUCCCAUGUGAUACAAAGGAAUUAGAUGAUUUUAUAAAUAAUAGAGCUUUUCCAGCUCUAACAUUCCAAGAGUCUACAAGUCAUAUGAGAAUAUGAAUCUCACCACUCUCUAUAGCACAUGAAAUUAAUUGUGGCGAACUCUGAUGUAGCCCAAAACCCAUACAGGUCUCGCAAAUGGACUUGGGCCAAAGAAAAAGAAAAAUGUACCACCUGGCCACUUGGCAGCACAAAAGAACUUGCAAAAAGAUAAAGAAAAGAUUUUUUCUACCGUUGCUCCAGCACAUUUUCCUAUAAUGUUGUUUCUCUCACAGAUGUCUCAAGUUGCAAGCCUUCAGGAUUUCUAGAUAGAAUCCACACCCUGGCUGGUCACUGUUCUCCCAGUCACUAGCAAUUCCCAUAGAUGGGAAAGUUUGCUAAGAAGUGUAAAGUGCAAUUUUUCUGUUUAUUUUUUAUGAACACCUCUUUAAAUUCUGAGAUACGGGGCCUGAUUGGAUAGAUAGGAUUGCUGAAUAAAAUACAGGAUGUCAAGUUAAAUUUGAAUUUUAGACAAACUAGGAAUCAAUUCAAUAUCCCCAUAAUUACGUGGAACAUACAUAUACCAAAAGAUUAUUCCUCAUUUAUCAGAAAUUCAAAUUUAACUGCAUGUCUCGUAUUUUUGUUUGCUAAAUAUGGCAACCCUACUCAUAGAAGGAAGAAUAUUUUAUAUAGCUUUUUGGGUGGGAUUAGGUCAAAAGCCUUACAAACUGGAACACCAACAACUUAGACUUCUAUUUAUUACUUUGCUCAUUUCAAUACUCUCACGUUAAACAUCUGCCAUGCUAUCACUGUGUUUUCAGUGGGCGUAUUUGUGUUUAAAUUUCUCAGGUUAUAAGUGACUCCUUUUUAAAGGGAAAAAAACCCACACACAUCAGAAAGUCCAUUCAUUAUAUCAAAGAGAUCCUAACUAUUGAUAGGAGAACUUCUAAACGAGGCAGCAUAUUUUGGCCCACAUCUGUGACUAAGUUCUUUGAACUAAUUGGGAAAUACUGUAUGCUGGCAGGCUUUAAUGGAGAAAUAUGUUCCCCCUAAGGGUUAUUUGUCUAAUUGGCUGUAGAAAUGCUUUUCUCUGCUUCAGAAAGCUUUUUCCCGUUUGCUAAUGUUACAGCUUCUCCACCUUUCCUCUACCACCAAAGUUGAUGCUGCACUGAGUUCACUGAACUCUGUUCAGAAUUCUGUGAUUAAACUGGACAAGGUUUCAGAUCUGAAUUCAGCUUGACACAAGGCAUUUCAUCUUUCUGGUCUGCAGUUACCUCCUCCAGAAAGUGUGUUAGAAGAGAUCAUCUCUGAACUUCCACAGUCUACCAUUUACUGAUUCAAACAAAGGAAAGGUCUGGGGGGCCCAGAAGAGGGUAAACCAAGCAAGUACAAAAUAGGGUUUUAGUUUUUGUUUCAUUUCAAAGCCCCCUUUUCCCAGGUCCUUUAGCUAUGGUGGAACUAGGUUGCCCAAAAGAUUUUUGGAUAUGUUUCCCUAUUCAAUGAUAAACACCUUCUGGAUUCCAAGGAAUUUAACAUUUUGCUAUGAAACAUAAAAUUUAGCUAUAAUAUUAAAGAACCCAAAGAGAUACUUUGUCUAUAUGUUCCUAAAUAUUUAGGAUUUGAAUGC
Molecule: long non-coding RNA, 5943 nt
Organism: Equus caballus (horse)
Lineage: Eukaryota; Metazoa; Chordata; Mammalia; Perissodactyla; Equidae
Source: Ensembl